GCCUGCUGUUGGAACCGACUGGUGGCUUACUGGGUGACUUGGCUCCAGUGGGAUUUUGUGGCUGACUUUAUCUUUUAUGCUGAGGACCUCUGCAUCCCGUGGAUCCAACAGGAGUGAUGAGUUACUCAUCAACUGUCGCCAAAUAUCUCUGAACCCCAAAGCACUACCAAAAACACUAGCUCCUGCAGAGAACAUGCAACAAGCCAGAGAACACAAGCUGCUGUUACAGCUGCAACUCUAAUUUUAAACCGCUGAUGCUCACACACCUAUCUCCCCCUCCUCUUUCGAACCUGGAACAUU
Molecule: long non-coding RNA, 300 nt
Organism: Austrofundulus limnaeus
Lineage: Eukaryota; Metazoa; Chordata; Actinopteri; Cyprinodontiformes; Rivulidae
Exons: 3
Source: RefSeq, a predicted model, not a curated record